This 159-nucleotide transfer-messenger RNA is filed under the name Rhodoferax sp. Its description in RNAcentral is "partial transfer-messenger RNA". It matches the Rfam family "transfer-messenger RNA", at positions 213 to 374 of the family's 374-position model. Rfam says of the family: Bacterial tmRNA, also known as 10Sa RNA or SsrA, is named for its dual tRNA and mRNA-like properties. Its role is to liberate the mRNA from a stalled ribosome. To accomplish this part of the tmRNA is used as a reading frame that ends in a translation stop signal. Lineage: Bacteria; Pseudomonadati; Pseudomonadota; Betaproteobacteria; Burkholderiales; Comamonadaceae. The record is from RNAcentral.
CCGUGCACCUUGGGCAUCGACGAGAUCCAAGGGUGCUGGCCUGGCCGGUAGCGUGCCGCUGCGCGACCGGACGGGUGAGACUCAAAUCAGACGGCUAAGCAUGUAGAACUGUCCGGCGAUGGCUUGCGGACGGGGGUUCGAUUCCCCCCGGUUCCACCA